RNAcentral lists this ribosomal RNA (1554 nucleotides) under Staphylococcus aureus. RNAcentral's name for it is "16S ribosomal RNA". It matches the Rfam family "Bacterial small subunit ribosomal RNA". Lineage: Bacteria; Bacillati; Bacillota; Bacilli; Caryophanales; Staphylococcaceae. The record is from RNAcentral.
UUUAUGGAGAGUUUGAUCCUGGCUCAGGAUGAACGCUGGCGGCGUGCCUAAUACAUGCAAGUCGAGCGAACGGACGAGAAGCUUGCUUCUCUGAUGUUAGCGGCGGACGGGUGAGUAACACGUGGAUAACCUACCUAUAAGACUGGGAUAACUUCGGGAAACCGGAGCUAAUACCGGAUAAUAUUUUGAACCGCAUGGUUCAAAAGUGAAAGACGGUCUUGCUGUCACUUAUAGAUGGAUCCGCGCUGCAUUAGCUAGUUGGUAAGGCAACGGCUUACCAAGGCAACGAUGCAUAGCCGACCUGAGAGGGUGAUCGGCCACACUGGAACUGAGACACGGUCCAGACUCCUACGGGAGGCAGCAGUAGGGAAUCUUCCGCAAUGGGCGAAAGCCUGACGGAGCAACGCCGCGUGAGUGAUGAAGGUCUUCGGAUCGUAAAACUCUGUUAUUAGGGAAGAACAUAUGUGUAAGUAACUGUGCACAUCUUGACGGUACCUAAUCAGAAAGCCACGGCUAACUACGUGCCAGCAGCCGCGGUAAUACGUAGGUGGCAAGCGUUAUCCGGAAUUAUUGGGCGUAAAGCGCGCGUAGGCGGUUUUUUAAGUCUGAUGUGAAAGCCCACGGCUCAACCGUGGAGGGUCAUUGGAAACUGGAAAACUUGAGUGCAGAAGAGGAAAGUGGAAUUCCAUGUGUAGCGGUGAAAUGCGCAGAGAUAUGGAGGAACACCAGUGGCGAAGGCGACUUUCUGGUCUGUAACUGACGCUGAUGUGCGAAAGCGUGGGGAUCAAACAGGAUUAGAUACCCUGGUAGUCCACGCCGUAAACGAUGAGUGCUAAGUGUUAGGGGGUUUCCGCCCCUUAGUGCUGCAGCUAACGCAUUAAGCACUCCGCCUGGGGAGUACGACCGCAAGGUUGAAACUCAAAGGAAUUGACGGGGACCCGCACAAGCGGUGGAGCAUGUGGUUUAAUUCGAAGCAACGCGAAGAACCUUACCAAAUCUUGACAUCCUUUGACAACUCUAGAGAUAGAGCCUUCCCCUUCGGGGGACAAAGUGACAGGUGGUGCAUGGUUGUCGUCAGCUCGUGUCGUGAGAUGUUGGGUUAAGUCCCGCAACGAGCGCAACCCUUAAGCUUAGUUGCCAUCAUUAAGUUGGGCACUCUAAGUUGACUGCCGGUGACAAACCGGAGGAAGGUGGGGAUGACGUCAAAUCAUCAUGCCCCUUAUGAUUUGGGCUACACACGUGCUACAAUGGACAAUACAAAGGGCAGCGAAACCGCGAGGUCAAGCAAAUCCCAUAAAGUUGUUCUCAGUUCGGAUUGUAGUCUGCAACUCGACUACAUGAAGCUGGAAUCGCUAGUAAUCGUAGAUCAGCAUGCUACGGUGAAUACGUUCCCGGGUCUUGUACACACCGCCCGUCACACCACGAGAGUUUGUAACACCCGAAGCCGGUGGAGUAACCUUUUAGGAGCUAGCCGUCGAAGGUGGGACAAAUGAUUGGGGUGAAGUCGUAACAAGGUAGCCGUAUCGGAAGGUGCGGCUGGAUCACCUCCUUUCU